UGCGAUGAGCCGAAUGCUAAUGAUUUAGCAGACGCAAACAGCAACACAUUAACUGCCGGAUUUGCAGGUGUUGGAGAUUUUUAUUGUGGAAAAG
RNAcentral lists this non-coding RNA (94 nucleotides) under Enterococcus columbae DSM 7374 = ATCC 51263. RNAcentral describes it as "Enterococcus sRNA 68 (Lacto-3 RNA)". It matches the Rfam family "Enterococcus sRNA 68 (Lacto-3 RNA)". From Rfam's summary of the family: Name 'Ref' stands for RNA in E. faecalis. Lineage: Bacteria; Bacillati; Bacillota; Bacilli; Lactobacillales; Enterococcaceae. The record is from Rfam by way of RNAcentral.